RNAcentral lists this ribosomal RNA (293 nucleotides) under uncultured bacterium. RNAcentral describes it as "partial 16S ribosomal RNA". It matches the Rfam family "Bacterial small subunit ribosomal RNA", at positions 505 to 796 of the family's 1533-position model. The record is from RNAcentral.
GUGUCAGCCGCCGCGGUAAGACGGAGGGGGCAAGCGUUGUUCGGAAUUAUUGGGCGUAAAGGGCGCGUAGGCGGAUCUGUGUGUCUGACGUGAAAUCUCCACCACUUAACGGGGAGAGGUCGUUGGAAACUGCAGAUCUGGAGUUUGUCAGAGGACCAUGGAAUUCCAGGUGUAGCGGUGGAAUGCGUAGAUAUCUGGAAGAACACCGGUGGCGAAGGCGGUGGUCUGGGGCAAAACUGACGCUGAGGCGCGAAAGCCAGGGGAGCAAACGGGAUUAGAAACCCGCGUAGUCC